RNAcentral lists this unclassified non-coding RNA (337 nucleotides) under soil metagenome. Its description in RNAcentral is "partial contains 5.8S ribosomal RNA, internal transcribed spacer 2, and large subunit ribosomal RNA". The stretch from base 1 to 120 matches the Rfam family "5.8S ribosomal RNA", at positions 35 to 154 of the family's 154-position model. The record is from RNAcentral.
GAUGAAGAACGCAGUGAAAUGCGAUAAGUAAUGUGAAUUGCAGAAUUCAGUGAAUCAUCGAAUCUUUGAACGCACAUUGCGCCCGCCAGUAUUCUGGCGGGCAUCCCUGUCUGAGCGUCAUUUCAACCCUCAAGCAACUUCUGCUUGGUGUUGGGGAUCGGCCGUCAAACGCCGCCCCCGAAAUCUAUUGGCGAUCUCGCUGUAGCUUCCUAUGCGUAGUAGUAACAUCUCGCAUCUGGAGAGCGGCGCGGUCAUGCCGUAAAACACCCAACUUCUCAGGUUGACCUCAGAUCAGGUAGGAAUACCCGCUGAACUUAAGCAUAUCAAUAAGCGGAGA